GAUGAACGCUGGCGGCGUGCUUAACACAUGCAAGUCGAACGGUGAAGCAGAGCUUGCUCUGUGGAUCAGUGGCGAACGGGUGAGUAACACGUGAGCAACCCGCCCCUGACUCUGGGAUAAGCGUUGGAAACGGCGUCUAAUACUGGAUAUGAGCUCCGACCGCAUGGUCAGCAGUUGGAAAGAUUUUUCGGUCUGGGAUGGGCUCCCGGCCUAUCAGCUUGUUGGUGAGGUAAUGGCUCACCAAGGCGUCGACGGGUAGCCGGCCUGAGAGGGUGACCGGCCACACUGGGACUGAGACACGGCCCAGACUCCUACGGGAGGCAGCAGUGGGGAAUAUUGCACAAUGGGCGAAAGCCUGAUGCAGCAACGCCGCGUGAGGGAUGACGGCCUUCGGGUUGUAAACCUCUUUUGGCAGGGAAGAAGCGAGAGUGACGGUACCUGCAGAAAAAGCGCCGGCUAACUACGUG
This 467-nucleotide ribosomal RNA is filed under the name uncultured bacterium. Its description in RNAcentral is "partial 16S ribosomal RNA". It matches the Rfam family "Bacterial small subunit ribosomal RNA", at positions 28 to 507 of the family's 1533-position model. The record is from RNAcentral.